AUACAUGCAAGUCGAGCGGACAGAUGGGAGCUUGCUCCCUGAUGUUAGCGGCGGACGGGUGAGUAACACGUGGGUAACCUGCCUGUAAGACUGGGAUAACUCCGGGAAACCGGGGCUAAUACCGGAUGGUUGUCUGAACCGCAUGGUUCAGACAUAAAAGGUGGCUUCGGCUACCACUUACAGAUGGACCCGCGGCGCAUUAGCUAGUUGGUGAGGUAACGGCUCACCAAGGCGACGAUGCGUAGCCGACCUGAGAGGGUGAUCGGCCACACUGGGACUGAGACACGGCCCAGACUCCUACGGGAGGCAGCAGUAGGGAAUCUUCCGCAAUGGACGAAAGUCUGACGGAGCAACGCCGCGUGAGUGAUGAAGGUUUUCGGAUCGUAAAGCUCUGUUGUUAGGGAAGAACAAGUGCCGUUCAAAUAGGGCGGCACCUUGACGGUACCUAACCAGAAAGCCACGGCUAACUACGUGCCAGCAGCCGCGGUAAUACGUAGGUGGCAAGCGUUGUCCGGAAUUAUUGGGCGUAAAGGGCUCGCAGGCGGUUUCUUAAGUCUGAUGUGAAAGCCCCCGGCUCAACCGGGGAGGGUCAUUGGAAACUGGGGAACUUGAGUGCAGAAGAGGAGAGUGGAAUUCCACGUGUAGCGGUGAAAUGCGUAGAGAUGUGGAGGAACACCAGUGGCGAAGGCGACUCUCUGGUCUGUAACUGACGCUGAGGAGCGAAAGCGUGGGGAGCGAACAGGAUUAGAUACCCUGGUAGUCCACGCCGUAAACGAUGAGUGCUAAGUGUUAGGGGGUUUCCGCCCCUUAGUGCUGCAGCUAACGCAUUAAGCACUCCGCCUGGGGAGUACGGUCGCAAGACUGAAACUCAAAGGAAUUGACGGGGG
This 887-nucleotide ribosomal RNA is filed under the name Bacillus subtilis. Its description in RNAcentral is "bacterial SSU rRNA". It matches the Rfam family "Bacterial small subunit ribosomal RNA", at positions 51 to 919 of the family's 1533-position model. The record is from RNAcentral. Lineage: Bacteria; Bacillati; Bacillota; Bacilli; Caryophanales; Bacillaceae.